Molecule: long non-coding RNA, 501 nt
Organism: Phlebotomus papatasi
Lineage: Eukaryota; Metazoa; Arthropoda; Insecta; Diptera; Psychodidae
Exons: 3
Source: RefSeq, a predicted model, not a curated record
AGUGCGGAAGUCAUGUUACGCGAUUUUCUGUGCUUUAUCUCAAGUAUUAAUUGUGUUAAUUAGUGCAUUUUCGUAAAGUAUUUUUUACCGAUAAUUUAGAUUUAGACAAUAUUUCGGUGGCAGAAGUGUUUUCUUUUUUUCAAUGGGAUUUUCCAGCGGAAACUUCACAGAGAUUUCUUGGUCAAACUGGGCGAAUGACGAUUUUGAAGGCAGGAGUCCAGAAAGGGCAAUUCGGAAGAUAACUCAGGAAAUGUUCAAGCUUCAUCAUCAACGAAAUUGAAAAACACGAGAUUUCUACCAUUAUUAUCAUCAUUUUCAACCGAUUAUUCCUUUGGGGUCGUGAAAAUAUUGAUCAAGAUGAGGAAAAUUUAUGGCCUAAGAAAAAUAUCCAGCCGUGAGAACAAGUGGAAAAGAGACGGAAAGCCACAUUUCAACUGCGAUGUUCAAUGAGGGAAAAAAUUUGUUUUCUUUGGUAUAUUGGGAAAAUCCAGGUAAAUUAUU